Long non-coding RNA from Motacilla alba alba, 319 nucleotides. RefSeq lists it as uncharacterized. NCBI's taxonomy places the organism in Eukaryota, Metazoa, Chordata, Aves, Passeriformes, Motacillidae. The record is from RefSeq and is a predicted model, not a curated record. The transcript is spliced from 2 exons.
ACUUUAUCUACAUUCAACGUAUGUAAUUGAGUGGCUGUGGUAUGGCACACUGUCAUUUGGCUUCAUUUCAAUCAACUAAGAUAACUCUCUGUAUUUUCUUUCCUAUAACACUGUGUCAUGUUGCUGCAAAAAGCGAAACAGCUGUCACAUUCUCCUUCUUGAGGAUGCAUCCCAGAAUGGGCUGUUUCUUCUGAGAGGACAACAUAGCCUCCAAUUUGGCAGAGUGCAGAUGGCGCUUUACCCAGAAACCACUCCUUGGAAGAGUGAUGCCUUGAGAGGCUACCUAGAACAGAGGCCUGAAAAUGUUAAAGGAAUAAAG